GCCCCGAACCCGAACUGUACCCCUUGUGGGUCGCGUGCCGAAAGGCUAGGGUUCGGGGCUCUU
This 63-nucleotide non-coding RNA is filed under the name unclassified sequences. RNAcentral's name for it is "DUF3800-IX RNA". It matches the Rfam family "DUF3800-IX RNA". From Rfam's summary of the family: Actinobacteria, Firmicutes (1 example), Nitrospirae, Proteobacteria, Verrucomicrobia (1 example). Nearby to DUF3800 The record is from Rfam by way of RNAcentral.